This 832-nucleotide ribosomal RNA is filed under the name uncultured bacterium. RNAcentral describes it as "bacterial SSU rRNA". It matches the Rfam family "Bacterial small subunit ribosomal RNA", at positions 8 to 831 of the family's 1533-position model. The record is from RNAcentral.
AGAGUUUGAUCCUGGCUCAGGAUGAACGCUAGCGGCAGGCCUAACACAUGCAAGUCGAGGGGUAACAGAAAGAAGCUUGCUUUUUUGCUGACGACCGGCGCACGGGUGAGUAACGCGUAUAGAACCUACCUUGUACUGGAGAAUAACCAGAAGAAAUUCUGACUAAUACUCCAUAGUAUGUAUAGAUUUCAUGAUUUUUACAUUAAAGAUUUAUCGGUAUAAGAUGGCUCUGCGUCCUAUUAGCUAGAUGGUGUGGUAACGGCACACCAUGGCGACGAUAGGUAGGGGCCCUGAGAGGGGGAUCCCCCACACUGGUACUGAGACACGGACCAGACUCCUACGGGAGGCAGCAGUGAGGAAUAUUGGACAAUGGAGGCAACUCUGAUCCAGCCAUGCCGCGUGCAGGAAGACUGCCCUAUGGGUUGUAAACUGCUUUUAUACAGGAAGAAACCGCUCUACGUGUAGAGUUCUGACGGUACUGUAAGAAUAAGGAUCGGCUAACUCCGUGCCAGCAGCCGCGGUAAUACGGAGGAUCCAAGCGUUAUCCGGAAUCAUUGGGUUUAAAGGGUCCGUAGGUGGAUAAUUAAGUCAGGGGUGAAAGUCUGCAGCUCAACUGUAGAAUUGCCUUUGAUACUGGUUAUCUUGAAUUAUUAUGAAGUAGUUAGAAUAUGUAGUGUAGCGGUGAAAUGCAUAGAUAUUACAUAGAAUACCAAUUGCGAAGGCAGAUUACUAAUAAUAUAUUGACACUGAUGGACGAAAGCGUGGGGAGCGAACAGGAUUAGAUACCCUGGUAGUCCACGCCGUAAACGAUGGUUACUAGCUGUUCGGACUU